GAAUAGGAUUGUUAAUAUUGUGUGUAUGUUUUUAUAAUGUACAUGUACCUUACAUGUCUGUAUGUGAGAAUGCAUAUGGUGAUGUGUUUGUGUUUUCCAGGACAUAGUUGGUCCAUGAUGACUGUUGGCUUACACACAGGCCCUGACAACAGCACUCUGCAGGAAGCUUUGCUGAGGUGUCCUCGCCUUCAGAGGACCCCGUUUGCUGUACACUCCUGAGAGCAGAGGCUAUCUGGAGCAGGAAAAAGAACAAGUUUUUGAUGUAAUAAACCAGGCCUCACACAAAACUCCACUUGGAGAGCAAGAGAGAAGCAGAAAUUGAAGGAAAAGAAUGGUCCACGUGAGGUGAGUUCCAACCAUGCUGCCAGGGGCAAGAGGAGCUCCCCCUAGUCCUUCCUCCUCCUUCUCCACAUCCUGUUGGCCAAACAGGUCUCUACCUGUCUAGGUGAGCCAAUAUCCCUGUUACACCUACACUUGU
Siniperca chuatsi (mandarin fish) is the source of this 478-nucleotide long non-coding RNA. RefSeq lists it as uncharacterized. NCBI's taxonomy places the organism in Eukaryota, Metazoa, Chordata, Actinopteri, Centrarchiformes, Sinipercidae. The transcript has 4 exons. The record is from RefSeq and is a predicted model, not a curated record.